GGCUCGUUGGUCUAGGGGUAUGAUUCUCGCUUUGGGUGUGAGCGGUCCUGUUUUCGACUCCAAGUCGAGCCC
This 72-nucleotide transfer RNA is filed under the name Ameiurus melas (black bullhead). RNAcentral describes it as "tRNA-Pro". Lineage: Eukaryota; Metazoa; Chordata; Actinopteri; Siluriformes; Ictaluridae. The record is from RNAcentral.